GGGGGCGCUAGAGCAGCUAGGCUGAGGAAUUGCGGGAACAUGGCGGAUACUUGGUUGGGACCCUUGAUAAUCAAGGCAAAUCCUCGCCUGCUCCACUCUCCCAAUUUUCCCUUCUUCUUCUCUUCCUAUUCAAAACUCAAAUCCAUACCACUCUUCAUGGCUGCUUCCCUUCAAUGCCCUUGCUCCACUCCCAUCUCAACCCCAACGCCCAACGACCCUUCUCUUCUUGUCUUCUCAGGUGGAACUGCAUUUAAUGGAAUUGUGGAAGAGCUUAAGAAGUUAACCACUCGGGUUGCUCAUGUCUUGCCUUCUGACGAUGGAGGCAGUACUGCUGAGAUUGUUCGUGUGCUCGGUGUAUUUCAUAAACAAAAGGAUUCUUCUUUUUUGGGUCUUGAUCAGUAAUGGGAAAACAUUACUGGUUGCAGAAGAAGGUGGUAUAAGUAAAUUAAUGACUGAAGUUAUAUUUGGGUUAUAACUAUCUGAUGAAGUUUGCUUCUUAGCUUCCUGGAUGGAGGUUAAGCACGAGGUGCUAAAGCAAUUUGAGCUAAUCACUGCUGUGCCUAGUGAUUAAAUGCCCCUUCUGAGAUGCUUUAAUAUGCUAAGCUUAAGCGUGUCUUCCCAGCCUUUUUUUCCCCAGAAAAAUUUUGCACUUUCAUUUACUGUUUCUUCCCACUUUUAAGGAACUAUCUUGUUUAAUAUGAUGGAAGUUAACUGGCUGGAUAAAUUUUAGGUGGUCCUGCUGUUGGAGACUUUCGGUCAAGAUGUUUAAGAUUGU
This 775-nucleotide unclassified non-coding RNA is filed under the name Hevea brasiliensis (rubber tree). The record is from RNAcentral. Lineage: Eukaryota; Viridiplantae; Streptophyta; Magnoliopsida; Malpighiales; Euphorbiaceae.